Molecule: transfer RNA, 74 nt
Filed under: Patescibacteria group bacterium
Lineage: Bacteria
Description: tRNA-Val
Rfam family: tRNA
About the family: Transfer RNA (tRNA) molecules are approximately 80 nucleotides in length.
Source: RNAcentral
GGGCUCGUAGCUCAGUUGGUUAGAGUACUUCGUUGACAUCGAAGGGGUCAGCCGUUCGAAUCGGCUCGAGCCCA